Long non-coding RNA from Lutra lutra (Eurasian river otter), 3256 nucleotides. RefSeq lists it as uncharacterized. The transcript has 3 exons. Lineage: Eukaryota; Metazoa; Chordata; Mammalia; Carnivora; Mustelidae. The record is from RefSeq and is a predicted model, not a curated record.
GGAAAGGGGGGAGGGGGUUCACCUUCCCUGGACCCAGCGGGAAAUACCGCUUCCCCGCCCCCACCCUCACCCUCACAUACACACCCCUUCUUCGCUCCCUCCAAAUGGUUAUCACAACUGUGUACAAACUGAUACGGUGCUGAGCCGGCAAAGGGACUGGAAAUGAACGUCGCGGGGUUAUCAGCGCGGAUCUGUCAGCAGCGAGGCGCGCGGCUGCGGGUUCGUCCGCCGCAGGAGCAGUGAUAUAUGUCUCCGCUCCCUUUCGCGCACAAAAAGAUUUCUUCCGACAGACGCGACCCCAGAAGGCCGCGGAGAGAGAAUUUUAACUAGGGCAGCAGGAGUUGCUUUGUGAGGAUGGAUUUCACAUUUUUCUCCCAGCUUCGCAGCAGUUGUGAGAGGGUGCGCUGGCCUUGGGACCGCUGGGACAGAGCCUGUUAUCUAGGCCACCCAUGACCGACGAAAGAUCUUCCCUCCCGGCUUCUCCCACGGCCGCUUUAAACCAAAUAAAUUUAGCUAUUAAGGGCCAAGAUGUCUGACAAAAGAUCGAAAGGUGUCUAUCCGUGAUCGCUUAAAGCAGCGAAGGAGAAACUUGUGGCUCUCUGAUCCCGAUAAAGACAUUCCACACGGCGCCGGCCUCCCUCCCCGCGGCCUGGUUGCGUCCUGACGCCUUGAGAUCUCCGCUUCGCUGGCCAGAUCUCCACGGGCCCGGCGAGACCUGAGUCCGUCGCCCUGGGAAUGCGGAGGUCCCCAGGCGGCCGGGCUUGGGGGUGCCAGGCCCCAUGGUCCCGGGAGCCGUGGAAAUUCAGGCCUCACCCGGCUGGGCUCCGAAAACAGACCCCCUGCACUUGGCAGAAAAACUAAACCUUGCUCAUUAGGACCUGAAUUACUAUCCCUUUUGAUUAUUUUCUGAUGCUGAAUACUACUGUAGGCAAUCCACCCCUGCCUUCCCACCCUCACUCCCUGCGGGUUUGCCGAGGGUCCGAGUUACUCCACAUGACUGGGCGUUGGGAGCAGAACUCCCUUUGAACCCCGGUCAGAACCUGGUGGGUGGAACUGGGCAGCUAAAUUAGACUGAGGUUAAUGGGGAGGGUGGGUGUGGAUUCCCAGAGCAAGAGCGCGCAGGUGGGAGGCAGAGGUCCGGCCAUUCAAUCAUCCCCAGGUUGGGUUUGGUUAUGAAGUGUGGUAUUUAUUAUCAUUAUUAAUUACUACUGGCAUCACCACACAAAGCCAAGGGCUGCCAGCUUGGCUGAGGCCCUGCCCCUGCGGGGAUCCCUUCCCUUUCACUAAAAGUGAAGCAGGGAAUAUCCACCUUCCUGAUCCAGGAUUGGGAAGUGGUCUUGGGGAGCCAGGGGCUAUGUUUUGGGAGUUUUUGCACUGAGUCAUUUCUUUUCCUCUUUGGUAGCAUUCCCCUAUACUCUAAAGACACAUGGAAGCCUUUCCUACCACCUUGCAGUAUGUGUGAGUAAGAACCUCAGGGUGGUAGAUCAGAGACUGCACUGACUUCCCUGCCCAGGAGAUUCUCCCCAUAUCUUCUGCCAUCCCCUUGUGCUUUAUGGUGAAGCUGGAGACAGGAGUGUGAAUUCUAAAGGCAAACCAACUUCUUCAGUUUCUGUCACCUCAUUCUGGGCCCCGGAAGUGAAAUCUGCCUCUCUCUUCUCGUUGCCCCGCUCCAAAUAAGGUGAACUCCAAAACCAUCCGUCUUACCUAAUCCUUCCACCACCAGCAGCAGCAGCACCACCACCACCACCCCAGACUCCUGGGAUAGGAAAAAUCAGAGCAUCGGAAGGAAAAGGACCAUUUCUACUCCCCAAAAGGGGAACGAGAUACAGAAAUUUCCAACACACUAGACAGGCCCCAGGCUUUCCUUGGAGUUUGCUGGUAUCACUAGAUGUGCACACAAUGCCAAUUCCAGGGUCAGAGUCCAGAUGCCACUGCCCCAGAGCUGUCUCAGCUCAGAGACCUGUUUAAGUUUUUGGACGUUUGCUAAGUAGGUAAUGCUCAAGUCAAUUAAAGGGGGGAGUGCCCCCAAAUAAAAAAUAACUGUGUUUGCCCCCAGAACUAUUACCUCUGCACUCAGUUAUGUUACAAAUAUGCAGAGAAUCAGGACCAAGAGUUGUGUACCCAUAUGCAGCCCUCCAGUUUCCCGCACUUGCCCCACAGCACUGCAUGUACACUGCACAAAGAAGAACUAGAAGGGUUAGCAACUAGUUUUGAAGUGUUUACAGUCUAGAAGUUUGGCACUUCUGUAGAGCCUCAAAGAUGGAGGAAGAUGCUUGAUCCUUUCUCUGAAAAAGUACCCAACCUCAUGUUCUGUAGGCUUCACAGUGACUGUGUAAAGAAGGGAGUCACUCUGACACAGACUGAGGCAAUUGAGAUAGGUUUCAAACCUGACUCCACCACAUUGUGUAUGACCAGGACAAAUUGCCUAACUUCUCUGUGCCUCAGUUUUCCCAUCUGUAACAUGGGGAUGAUAAAAGUACCUGCCUUACAGGAUAUUGUUAGGGGAUUAAAAGAUUACUAGUAUUUAUACUGUAUUAGACUCCUGUACUACACCAGAUUUCAAUUUGUUGUGUGUCCCAACUGUUCCCCGGAGCUGGUUAAUUUCCUGGGAAGAACUACUUUGAGCACCCUUUCAACUUUAAGUCCUGCCAUUCAUUAAAGGUCUCAGGCAUUCUCUGUGUACCAGCAGUGAGGAUUUUAUUUAUUGCAUUAUAGUAGAAAGGGGUGGGGUGAGACAAACGUAGAUCCUUUACUUGGCUUUUGGUUCCUUUGAAGAAGAAACAUUCCUUGUCGUUCCCCUUUGCAAAUGCCAGCAGCAGACUCUAACAUCCUCUUUCCUGGAAAUUAAUUAGCUCCGGGGAACAGUUGGGUCACACAAGAAAUUGAAAUCUGCUGUAGUACACGCCAGUCUAUUACAAUAUAGAUAGUAAUCUUGACAAAGAUAGUAAUCUUGAGGCUCAUCCCCUGAGGAAAGUAUCCCAGUCCUCAGCAGCACCCCUCCCUGAGAACAACUUUCUGGCAACAGCAGUGAGUUAACAGAUGGGACCAUGAAGGAGAGCAACCUGUGGGCUGGCAUUAGAUAAAAGGGAGGGUGGGGGCUAAUUAAAUGGACCUGGUCAUCUGAUUAUACUUCUAUACUCUUCCCAUGCUUUGUACCUUUCAGUUUGGUAUUGCUGUGUAUGCAGGAAACUUUAACUUUAGUCCCAUUUUGUUAAGAAAUAGAAAAAUAAAGAUCACUUAGAAGUUAUGGAACACA